GUAAACGAUGAGUACUAAGUGUUGGAUGUCAAAGUUCAGUGCUGCAGUUAACGCAAUAAGUACUCCGCCUGAGUAGUACGUUCGCAAGAAUGAAACUCAAAGGAAUUGACGGGGGCCCGCACAAGCGGUGGAGAAUGUGGUUUAAUUAGAAGCAACGUGAAGAACCUUACCAGGUCUUGACAUAUUCAUUCAGGCUCCAGAGAUGGAGAGAUAGUUAUAUGAGAUACAGGUGGUGCAUGGUUCUUGUCAGCUUGUGUUGUGAGAUGUUGGGUUAAGUCCCGACACGAGCGCAACCCUUAUCGUUAGUUACCAUCAUUAAGCUGGGGACUCUCGCGAGACUGCCAGUGACAAGCUGGUGGAAGGCGGGGAUGACGUCAAAUCAUCAUGCCCCUCAUGACGUGGGGCACACACGUGCUACAAUGGCUGGAGCAGAGGGAAGCGAAGCCGCGAGGUGAAGCAAAACCCAUAAAACUAUUCUCAGUUCGGAU
RNAcentral lists this ribosomal RNA (488 nucleotides) under uncultured bacterium. RNAcentral describes it as "bacterial SSU rRNA". It matches the Rfam family "Bacterial small subunit ribosomal RNA", at positions 802 to 1298 of the family's 1533-position model. The record is from RNAcentral.